Molecule: ribosomal RNA, 469 nt
Filed under: uncultured bacterium
Lineage: Bacteria
Description: SSU rRNA
Rfam family: Bacterial small subunit ribosomal RNA
Source: RNAcentral
AGCCUGAACGCUGGCGGCGUGGCUAAGACAUGCAAGUCGUACGGGUGUAGCAAUACACCAGUGGCGCACGGGUGAGUAAUGUAUAGUUAACCUACCCCUUACUCUGGGAUAGCUAGCCGAAAGGCUAGGUAAUACCAGAUGACAUUCCGGUGUCGCAUGGCACUGGACUCAAAGGGCAACUGGUUUGGGAUGGGACUAUAUUGUAUCAGCUAGUUGGUAAGGUAAUGGCUUACCAAGGCUUUGACGCAUAGCCGGACUGAGAGGUCGGACGGCCACAUCGAAACUGAGACACUGUUCGGACUCCUACGGGGGGCUGCAGUAACGAAUCUUCCGCAAUGCACGAAAGUGUGACGGAGCGACGCCGCGUGUGGGACGAAGUCCUUCGGGAUGUAAACCACUGUCAAGAGAAGAAAGUUCUGAUCUACUCUAAAGGAAGGGGCGACUAACUCUGCGCCAGCAGCCGCGGUAA